This 60-nucleotide non-coding RNA is filed under the name Homo sapiens (human). Lineage: Eukaryota; Metazoa; Chordata; Mammalia; Primates; Hominidae. The record is from RNAcentral.
UGAGUUUACAGAUGAGGAGUAAGUAACCCUUGGGCCUUACUCCUCAUUUGUAAACUCAGG